RNAcentral lists this ribosomal RNA (301 nucleotides) under uncultured bacterium. RNAcentral's name for it is "partial 16S ribosomal RNA". It matches the Rfam family "Bacterial small subunit ribosomal RNA", at positions 509 to 807 of the family's 1533-position model. The record is from RNAcentral.
CAGUCGCCGCGGGAAUACGAAGGGGGCUAGCGUUGUUCGGAUUUACUGGGCGUAAAGCGCACGUAGGCGGACGCUUAAGUCAGGGGUGAAAUCCCGAGGCUCAACCUCGGAACUGCCUUUGAUACUGGGUGUCUUGAGUCCGGGAGAGGUGAGUGGAACUGCGAGUGUAGAGGUGAAAUUCGUAGAUAUUCGCAAGAACACCAGUGGCGAAGGCGGCUCACUGGCCCGGAACUGACGCUGAGGUGCGAAAGCGUGGGGAGCAAACAGGAUUAGAUACCCCUGUAGUCCCUGUCUCUUAUAC